AUUGAACGCUGGCGGCAGGCCUAACACAUGCAAGUCGAGCGGCAGCGGGAAGUAGCUUGCUACUUUGCCGGCGAGCGGCGGACGGGUGAGUAAUGUCUGGGAAACUGCCUGAUGGAGGGGGAUAACUACUGGAAACGGUAGCUAAUACCGCAUAACGUCGCAAGACCAAAGAGGGGGACCUUCGGGCCUCUUGCCAUCAGAUGUGCCCAGAUGGGAUUAGCUAGUAGGUGGGGUAAUGGCUCACCUAGGCGACGAUCCCUAGCUGGUCUGAGAGGAUGACCAGCCACACUGGAACUGAGACACGGUCCAGACUCCUACGGGAGGCAGCAGUGGGGAAUAUUGCACAAUGGGCGCAAGCCUGAUGCAGCCAUGCCGCGUGUAUGAAGAAGGCCUUCGGGUUGUAAAGUACUUUCAGCGGGGAGGAAGGUGCUGAGGUUAAUAACCUCAGCAAUUGACGUUACCCGCAGAAGAAGCACCGGCUAACUCCGUGCCAGCAGCCGCGGUAA
This 506-nucleotide ribosomal RNA is filed under the name uncultured bacterium. Its description in RNAcentral is "partial 16S ribosomal RNA". It matches the Rfam family "Bacterial small subunit ribosomal RNA", at positions 30 to 523 of the family's 1533-position model. The record is from RNAcentral.